RNAcentral lists this unclassified non-coding RNA (18 nucleotides) under Mus musculus (house mouse). RNAcentral describes it as "oocyte_clustered_small_RNA4726". The record is from RNAcentral. Lineage: Eukaryota; Metazoa; Chordata; Mammalia; Rodentia; Muridae.
UUUGUCAUACUUGAAGGG